UAUGGUUGAACGUGCUCCAUGGUUACCAACGCAAUGACGCUUUUCCGUAUCCAAGACAUCUCUAGAGCUGAAGAGGCGAGCUAGCUGAUAUUUUUUCAGAUAUCACCAUCAAUAAACAUAGCUAGUUUAAAGCGUAGUGUAACUGCUCGUUUGUCUAGCCAGUUAACAUAAUACUUAGCAGUAAAAGAGUAGGGUGUUUGGCGUCAACAAUGGCUGAGUUUGGUUUCAAUGAACACCAUCAGAAUGAGGCCAUCAACUACAUGCGCUUUGCACGCUCCAAGAGGAUCAUCAGACUCAAGACCAUUGACUCCUGCUUCGAGGACCUUAAAGACAGCAGGCUAGUGGAGGAGACAUUCACAGUGGACGAGGUGCGGGACAUGCUGGACGGGCUGCAGCUGGUUGUGCGAGGGGAGGUCGAGACAGAGCUCAUCAACACGGCCCACACCAACGUGCUGCUGCUUCGGCAGCUCUUCUCCCAGGCUGAAAAGUUCUACCUCCGUCUGCAGACUGACAUAUCGGAGCUGGAGAACAGAGAGUUGUUAGAGCAAGUGGCUGAGUUUGAGAAUACUGAGUUUAAAACCCCAAAUAAGACUAACCAAGAAAUUAGCAAGCCCAAGUUAGCACCGCUGAAUGAAGGUGGGGUAUCUGAACUUCUCAACAAGGAGAUAUCAAGGCUACAAGAGGAAAAUAAUAAGCUCAAAGGCAGGCUCCGGACUUUGGAAACCCAGGCCAUGGGUGCGUUGGAUGAGAAGACCAGGGCGGAGAGGGCUCUCAAAGACUUGCAGAAGGUCAAGGGGGAACAGCAAAUGACCACCCGUUCUCAGGAGAUCACUAGUCUGGAGGACACGGUGGCAGCACUGCAGGAAGACUACCAGAAGUCCCUGAGUGUCAACGCUGCCUCCCAAAGAGACCUGCAGGACAACCUGGUGUCUGCCAAACAUGACCUGCUCAGGGUACAGGAACAACUGUCCCUGGCAGAGAAGUUUUGUGUGUGUAGGAGCUGGACCGGAAGUUCCAACAGACUUCUGCCUACCGCAACAUGAAGGAGAUCCUCACCAAGAAAAAUGAGCAGAUCAAGGACAUCAGGAAACGGCUUUCAAAAUACGAGUCUGAUGAAUGAACCCUUUGCAUCACACAACAAGACACAAAAUGGAGGUUAAAAUACACGACGAGGGUAGAAAUGGCCCAAAACCUGGGACUGUCACUCUGGAGAAGGUUUUUGCCCAUUUAUCAUUUAUUCUACCCCACUGCAGGAGGAGGUGCUUUGAACAAAAAAUGUAAUUGAGAAUAUCACCUGUAGUUCAAAACCUUUCAGAAGAAUCGUAUCAUCUCGCUGAUCCAGCAGAUUUUGUAGUCAUUGGCUUUAGGAGAUGAUUGCGGGGUAUUAAGGGUUGGGGGCUAAUCGACAGAGCCUCCUAUGGUCAGUCUCACUGGGAGAAGAACCUUGAAUGUCUCUGUCCCUCUGCUACUCCGCGCUGUCCCAUAUCUAGGAGCUGGAGCUUUGUGUGUUUAGUAGUAGGUUUUCCUCAUUGCACUAUGCAAGUACUUUCACGUCCUUGACUUGCUGUCUAAAAAAGGAGGCCUUCUGAAUAGGAGAGAUAUGCUUGAAGCUUUGGUGCUGUCUAUAUCUGAUGGUGAUGGGUACAUUUUCCCAUGACACCAAUAUAAACUAUUGUGUCUCCUCGACUGUAUAAUCUUUUUCACCUAUUUCUAUGUAGCUGGGGUAUCAUGCAACAUCUGUUUAUAUGUAUUCAGCCGGCGGAAUUCGGAGCUCCAAGUUUUAAUGAUAGUGAAUAGUCAUGGCUAAUGGUACAUAUUAUGAAUCGCAGCAUAGCAUAACAUUCCAAAAUAUCUUGAGGGGAAGGUUUUGAGGGAAACGUUUACAUACAGUAGUAUGAUUUGACAUGUUUUCUUAUUUUUCUUACAAUUUUUAUCCUGUUUAGCAUAUAAAUAAUGCUUGGAAAGAUCAGAGGUUGGACCUAAGCAAAUGUAUAAAUACGUCUCUACACAUAUAGAAUAUUUUUAUGGGAACAGUGAACUUUUUUGUCCUUAACCCUGAUAAUAGCCUGGUAUCAAGGCAUAUAUUGUAAUCCGUCUGGUACCAGGCCAGAGGCAAAUGUGUGUAAUAUGACAAAAAUUCUAUGUUGCUGUCUUUGACGUAAUGCUCUUGUAGAGUACGAUACACGACCACCUAUGUCAUAUUAGACGUGUAUGUGUGAUAUGUUUGAAUUGUUGUGCGGUAAUAAAAGCUGUUACCAAAA
RNA transcript from Salvelinus fontinalis (brook trout), 2261 nucleotides. It is a transcript of the gene named leucine zipper transcription factor-like protein 1, with no coding region annotated. The transcript has 10 exons. Lineage: Eukaryota; Metazoa; Chordata; Actinopteri; Salmoniformes; Salmonidae. The record is from RefSeq and is a predicted model, not a curated record.